This 1453-nucleotide long non-coding RNA is filed under the name Homo sapiens (human). RNAcentral's name for it is "non-protein coding lnc-ANKRD27-2:10". Lineage: Eukaryota; Metazoa; Chordata; Mammalia; Primates; Hominidae. The record is from RNAcentral.
GGGCUCGGGGCUGUAGCCGAGGGUUCCGCCGGCGCCCGCCCGCCCUCUCGGUAGACCCUCGCCCGCGCGUCCCGGCGCGCCGCCACAGACCUGCGGCCUCAGCCGUCCUCACGCGCGGCUCCGGGAGGGGAAGGAGGCCGACGGGGCUAGGCGGGAACGGGGCCGCGCCACGGGCCGCAGCGCGCCGCGGGUACAAGGAGGGCAGAACCGCCGCGGAGCUUUGUGGAAAUGAGGGGCUGGGGGGCGUCAACAGCCCCGGGGAGGGGGCGCGCCGGAGAGGCCGGGCGGCUGCCCCCGCGCCCAUAGGCCCCGGGAGCUGUUCGUCAACACUAGGCCCCGCCUCCUCCCGCGGUUCCCCGCCUCGUCUCGUGCUGCGCUGGCCGGAAGGAAGCGGCACACUUCCGCUUGCCUGGUCCGCAUUGAGUCCGGUCUGUUCCGGAGACUCUGAGCGCGGCCGCGGAGCUGCAGUGGCGGGGAGUGGGGUGCGGAUCUUGUGUUUGCGCACGCAGUCGCCGGCCACCUCAGGCCGGAGCUAGAGAUACGGCUCGGGAUAGGAGGGCCCGGCGGCUCUGAGGCAGGUUCGCCUCGAGCCGCACGGCCCGGAGCAGCGGCUCCGCGGUGGUCCCCGGGGCUUGAGAGGGGUGCGGGCCUGGGAGCCCCUGAGGGCCUGAUUUACGGAACUCCCCCUCCUUCCUCCUUUCUGCCGUUCCCUGCUCUGUGGCGGAUGCGCAGGGAUCAGUAGGGACGGCAGCAGUAGGGCCACUCGGGCCUGCCCCGCUUCCCGCAUUGCCCGGUUUGGCGCGCCGCCUCCGGGCCUUGGCAAAGCCCCAGCGCCCGAUUGUCACUGACCAGUGCUUGGAAGUCCUUUACCGACUGCCCGUCAGCGUCCCGCGGAGAGGAUUUUGCGUCUCCAAAGACGCCCCUCUUCCGAAAACAGGCUCCUCUGUGUUCUCAGUCGGGUAUAUUUUUCUGUCUCCAAACUAGAUUGGCAGCCGUUUUUUGAGAGCAGGUACUGACUGUGCUUUAUUUCUAGAUACUUUUCUUAGUCACACCACGGAAAACACUAGGUGGAACCUUUUUUAAAAUUAUUUUUUACAGGUGAGGCUCUCAGUCUGUCGCCCAGGCUGGAGUGCAGUGGUGCUAUCACGGCUCACUGCAACCUCGGCCUCCUGGGCGCAAGCGAUCCUCCCGCCUCAGCCUCCGGAGUAGCUGGGACCACAGGCUCGCACUACUAUGCCCAGCUAAUUUUUAAAUUUUUCGUAGAGAUGGGGGUCUUGCUUUGUCGUCCAGGCUGGAGUGCAGUGGUGUGAUCGUAGCUCACUGCAACCUUAGUCCCCUGUGCCCAAGUGACCCUGCUUCCUCAGCCUCCUGAGUAGCUGAGAUUCAUUUUAAUUUUUAUAGUGAUGGGGUCUCGUUGUGUUGACCAGUCUGGUCUAAAACUCCUGAGUUCAAG